GUGCUUGCUUCGGCAGUACAUAUGCUAAAAUUGGAACAAUACAGAGAUUAGUAUUGCCCCUGCCCAAGGAUGACAUGCAAAUUCGUGAAGCAUUCCGUAUUUUU
Molecule: small nuclear RNA, 104 nt
Organism: Balaenoptera musculus (blue whale)
Lineage: Eukaryota; Metazoa; Chordata; Mammalia; Artiodactyla; Balaenopteridae
Source: Ensembl